RNAcentral lists this long non-coding RNA (1853 nucleotides) under Capsicum annuum. RNAcentral's name for it is "long non-coding RNA (CANN_LNC003643)". The record is from RNAcentral. Lineage: Eukaryota; Viridiplantae; Streptophyta; Magnoliopsida; Solanales; Solanaceae.
UUCAGAACAAACCGCAGGCAGUAGAGGAUGAAAUCUUCUGACUCAGAUAAGGUUAAUCUAUCAAACAGAAGUUUCUUACCAAUAUUAAGAUAGCUAAUGUUGUCACUCGCUUGCUCCAGUGGGAAGUUGGGUGCGAAACUGUAUGAGAAUUGUCAUCUGUGUUCAGAAAUCAAUUGUGGUACUCUUAUUUGUUUCAUUACUUGCUAUAUUACAGACAAAAGUUAAAAAUGAGUACUCAUGAAAGUGUUUGUUCAAAGACAACUACUAAAGUUAUUGCUGUAAAGUUACCUCUAGAAUUGCUGUUUUCUUUUUGAUGUGAUUCGUCAAACCUGCAGAAGCAAAUGAAUAUGAUGAUAAAAAAUGUACCUUGGACCUAAACUGCAAAACCAAGUCUCCCAUCAACUAUCGAUGUGGGAGUCUUGACAUACAGAAGCUAGCUCAUAAAGAGUGAAAACAUGUAUUUUCCCUUUCAUAUUGGUUUGGUUGGUUAUUGACAAUAAAAAGUAUUUGUUCCCUUCCUUUAAAAUAAAAAAUAAGAUGGAUAAAUUAAAAUGGAGGGAGGGAGUAAUAUUGUCAAGUUGACCAGUAAGGCUCAAUGAUGUAGGGGAAGAGUCCGCAGCCAGACAUUUUGCCUUUGUUUUUCUAUAUUCAAAAAUCAUACGCAUUAUUCAACACGCGACUUGGCCAACCGGUGCACGCACCCGGAUUGGUUAUAUUCGGAAUGGCCCUCUCUGGAUUCUCCUUGUCCAAAACAACAACACCAUUCCUCACCAAUCUUCCCCAUCCGCCACCGAAAAAUGCCCAACGCGCAUCGGCCUUUCUCAUGCCUAUAACAGAUCUGACUUUAACACAAAUCCGCACCCUCCAUCUGUUCCGAUUCCAUCACCCUAGAUUCCUAUCCAGCCGUAAUAUCGCUGCACUCAAAACUCCGAUGGCUGAGGAAGCGAUUAACAAGGCCACCAUAAAGUCAACGGUGGAUAACAAGAGUACCGUAGAGUCAGCGAUGAAUAACAUAACGGAAUCGGAGAAGAAGAAUGAGGAAGAAUCAAAGGUUACGAUUCCGCCGCCGCCGGAGAAGCCGUUGCCGGACGAUUGUUGCGGGAGUGGAUGUGUUAGAUGCGUGUGGGACAUGUAUUAUGAAGAACUCGAGGAAUACAAUAAGCUUUACAAGAGUAAUCCAGAUGUUAAGUCUUCUUAGAUUGGUUUGGAAAGACUAGGAUUCAUAUAAUUGAUUGCAUCUGUUCAUAUGAAUUGUUGUUUGUUAAAGUAUAUUCGUGGAAUCACUGAUGACAGAUUUAUGAGCAGGCACGUACUGUAAACAAAUUGAAACUUCGUAAACUAAACAUUUAUUUUUCUACUCUUAAUUUCUUGGUUAUCUUCCUUGUGGCUUGGAAACUAGUUUUGGCAAAUAUUGUUAGCAAGAUAGGAAAGCAACUUGUAAUUUUUUUGAUACUUGCGUAACAAAGAUUAAAUUGAUGUAGUAUAACUAUAACGCGAAGCCAAGGCAGAUUGCGUGUAAAAGAUCUUGUGUUGAACUCACCUCUGUUUUAGACGGCUAGGGACUGCUAGACUCCCAGCGUUGUUGACCUCAAAUUGACAAAUUCUUCAUCAAAUGGGUCAUAAAAUGUUCAAUUUAUCUACAAAAUCAUAGGGGUUGAGAAUAACUCAAGUAAUAAGUCAUAGUAUUGCAUAUAAUUACUAAAAAAAUCACAAGAAAAAAAGUUGAAAUAUUUUAAGAGUUGUGAAUGAUUUCUCGGGUUCCGUUAUAGGGCCAAAAAGUCCAUUCUAUGUUCGAGUGCUAAAUAAUUACACGUUAGCUCUGAAAAGUCUACAUUCUAAUAUGUGUUUGGGUU